AUCUUUUCAUGGUUCAUAAGUGUGACUGGGUUUUCACACCUUUGUGUGAGAUGUGCCUCCUUCAUGCCUUAUUAUGACACCAGCACAUUUACCCAUCUGACA
Molecule: small nucleolar RNA, 102 nt
Organism: Lepus europaeus (European hare)
Lineage: Eukaryota; Metazoa; Chordata; Mammalia; Lagomorpha; Leporidae
Product: small nucleolar RNA U13
Exons: 1
Source: RefSeq, a predicted model, not a curated record